Molecule: ribosomal RNA, 253 nt
Filed under: uncultured bacterium
Lineage: Bacteria
Description: partial 16S ribosomal RNA
Rfam family: Bacterial small subunit ribosomal RNA
Source: RNAcentral
UACGGAGGGAGCUAGCGUUGUUCGGAAUUACUGGGCGUAAAGCGCACGUAGGCGGCUUUGUAAGUUAGAGGUGAAAUCCCGGAGCUCAACUUCGGAACUGCCUUUGAUACAGCACGUCUUGAGUCCAGAAGAGGUGGGUGGAAUUCCUAGUGUAGAGGUGAAAUUCGUAGAUAUUAGGAAGAACACCGGUGGCGAAGGCGGCCCACUGGUCCGGUACUGACGCUGAGGUGCGAAAGCGUGGGGAGCAAACAGG